AGAGUUUGAUCCUGGCUCAGGAUAAACGCUGGCGGCGUGCCUAAUACAUGCAAGUCGAACGAGGGCGGCCAAGCUUGCUUGGCCAAACGAGUGGCGAACGGGUGAGUAAUACAUAAGCAACCUGCCCACGAAGACCGGGAUAAUCUCUGGAAACGGGGACUAAAACCGGAUAGGUAGGACAACCGCAUGGUUGAGCUAUUAAAGGUGAGAAACACUGGUGGAUGGGCUUAUGGCGCAUUAGCUAGUUGGUGAGGUAAAGGCCCACCAAGGCGAUGAUGCGUAGCCGGCCUGAGAGGGUGAACGGCCACAUUGGGACUGAGACACGGCCCAGACUCCUACGGGAGGCAGCAGUAGGGAAUUUUCGGCAAUGGGGGGAACCCUGACCGAGCAACGCCGCGUGAACGAUGAAGGUCUUCGGAUUGUAAAGUUCUGUUGUACGGGAAGAACGGUAUGGAUAGGAUCCAUAAGUGACGGUACCGUACCAGAAAGCCACGGCUAACUACGUGCCAGCAGCCGCGGUAAUACGUAGGUGGCGAGCGUUAUCCGGAAUUAUUGGGCGUAAAGGGUGCGUAGGCGGUCUGUUAAGUUCAUGGUUAAAGCGUGGGGCUCAACCCCAUAAAGCCACGGAUACUGACAGACUAGAGUACUGGAAAGGGCAGUGGAAUUCCAUGUGUAGCGGUAAAAUGCGUAGAUAUAUGGAGGAACACCGGUGGCGAAGGCGGCUGCCUGGACAGAAACUGACGCUGAGGCACGAAAGCGUGGGGAGCAAAUAGGAUUAGAUACCCUAGUAGUCCACGCCGUAAACGAUGGAUACUAAGUAUUGGGGCAACUCAGUGCUGCAGUUAACGCAAUAAGUAUCCCGCCUGUGGAGUAUGCACGCAAGUGUGAAACAUAAAGGAAUUGACGGGG
This 909-nucleotide ribosomal RNA is filed under the name uncultured bacterium. RNAcentral's name for it is "bacterial SSU rRNA". It matches the Rfam family "Bacterial small subunit ribosomal RNA", at positions 8 to 918 of the family's 1533-position model. The record is from RNAcentral.